RNAcentral lists this ribosomal RNA (792 nucleotides) under Triticum aestivum (bread wheat). Its description in RNAcentral is "partial small subunit ribosomal RNA". The record is from RNAcentral. Lineage: Eukaryota; Viridiplantae; Streptophyta; Magnoliopsida; Poales; Poaceae.
UUCCAGGAUAUUCAUUGUUUCGACCUAGCAAUGCUGGCAAAACAAGCGUGGCGUAUUAUUGAGAAUCAAGACUCCUUAUGUACGACCGUGUUGAGAGCUAAAUAUUUCCCAAACGGUGAUUUAUUGAAUACAAAGCUAACAAAGGGCUUUUCUUUUACUUGGCAAAAUAUUACGGCAGGGGUUAAUUGUCUAAAUCUUGGUUAUAUUUGGCGUGUUGGAAAUGGUCACAACAUUGAUAUUUGGGAAGAUGCUUGGAUUUCUAAUUGUGCAAAUAAAAAAGUAAUCACACCCGAGAGGGUCAUCUCAAGGGUAUCUGAUUUAAUUGAUCCUGCUACUAGUAAUUGGGACGAAAAUUUGGUCGCACAAAUGUUCUGGCCAGUUGAUGCACAAAGGGUCCUUGCAAUUCCUUUGUCACAACACGAUAUGUCGGAUUUUGUCGCUUGGAGCUAUUCAAAGAAUGGAACUUUUUCUGUUCGAUCAGCCUAUGCAGUGCAAUGGGAACACCAACACGGGGGAAAAUUAAGAAGAACCGAUGAUAUGGGACAUAUGACUAUCAAUCCUAUUUGGAGUGAGAUUUGGAAAUUAUCUUGUCCAUCAAAGCUUAAAAUUUUCAUUUGGCGCACGCUGCAUGGCACCCUCCCGUGUAGAGUUAAUUUGACGAAUAGACAUAUAAAGGUUACCCCCAAUUUGUCCGUAUGUUCCUUUAGAUCAGAGGAUACAAAAGCAUAUAUUAUUUCAGUGUCAGAAAGCAAAGGAGGUUUGGAAAAAACUGGGUCUAGAUCAGGUCAUUAA